This 326-nucleotide ribosomal RNA is filed under the name gut metagenome. RNAcentral describes it as "bacterial LSU rRNA". It matches the Rfam family "Bacterial large subunit ribosomal RNA", at positions 150 to 478 of the family's 2925-position model. The record is from RNAcentral.
UCGUUAAGUGAAUACAUAGCUUAGCAGGGAACCCGGGGAACUGAAACAUCUAAGUACCCGGAGGAAAAGAAAGAAAUUCGAUUCCGUAAGUAGCGGCGAGCGUAACGCGGAAUAGCCCAAACCAGUGAAGUUUUCUUCGCUGGGGUUGCGGACACAUAACAUGAGAAGAUAUCGUAAACGAAGAGAGUUGGAAAGCUCCGCUAUAAAGUGUAAUAGCCACGUAGUUGAAACGAAACAAUUCUUUAGAUAUGAUCCAGAGUACCACGGGACACGUGAAACCCUGUGGGAAGCAGGAGGGACCAUCCUCCAAGGCUAAAUACUACUUA